This 258-nucleotide long non-coding RNA is filed under the name Olea europaea (common olive). Its description in RNAcentral is "long non-coding RNA (OEUR_LNC013258)". Lineage: Eukaryota; Viridiplantae; Streptophyta; Magnoliopsida; Lamiales; Oleaceae. The record is from RNAcentral.
UCCCACCCUGCGUCCCGACCUGACCUUGAAAAUUAGCCAUCGGGGCCACUUCUCAACAUCGACAAGUCUAAUGGCACCAAUUAAGGAAAUUGAGGAAAGGAUAGACUUCAAUGUUAAGAACAUACAAAAAAUUGAGGAGAAGAUAAGACUCUUCACACCUAAAUAGGGUUUCAUUUCGUUGGGCGCCAGCUUAUCGUAUCCUACAUUCGAUUUUUUAAGCUAAGAAGGUAAAUACUCUUCACCCAUUUUUACUUAAAC